Molecule: ribosomal RNA, 477 nt
Filed under: uncultured bacterium
Lineage: Bacteria
Description: bacterial SSU rRNA
Rfam family: Bacterial small subunit ribosomal RNA
Source: RNAcentral
UUCGCAAUGCCCGAAAGGGUGACGAAGCGACGCUGCGUGUGGGAAGAAGGCCUUCGGGUUGUAAACCACUGUUGGGAGUUAGGAAGUGUGGAGGUGUUAAUAGCGCUUUCACUUGACUAAAGCUCCAGAGGAAGCCACGGCUAACUCUGUGCCAGCAGCCGCGGUAAUACAGAGGCGGCAAGCGUUGUUCGGAAUUAUUGGGCGUAAAGAGCACGUAGGCGGCUCUGCAAGUCAGCUGUGAAAGCCUUCUGCUUAACGGAAGAACGGCAGUUGAAACUACAGGGCUUGAGUGCGGGAGGGGAGAGUGGAACUUCUGGUGGAGCGGUGAAAUGCGUAGAUAUCAGAAGGAACGCCGGCGGCGAAAGCGGCUCUCUGGUCCGUAACUGACGCUGAGUGUGCGAAAGCUAGGGGAGCAAACGGGAUUAGAUACCCCGGUAGUCCUAGCCGUAAACGAUGGGCACUAAGUAGAGGGGUUUU